This 489-nucleotide ribosomal RNA is filed under the name bacterium enrichment culture clone ALO1_GLFRUDD03GXJU3. RNAcentral describes it as "bacterial SSU rRNA". It matches the Rfam family "Bacterial small subunit ribosomal RNA", at positions 9 to 492 of the family's 1533-position model. The record is from RNAcentral.
GAGUUUGAUCCUGGCUCAGAUUGAACGCUGGCGGCAGGCCUAACACAUGCAAGUCGAGCGGAUGACGGGAGCUUGCUCCUUGAUUCAGCGGCGGACGGGUGAGUAAUGCCUGGGAAUCUGCCUGGUAGUGGGGGACAACGUUUCGAAAGGAACGCUAAUACCGCAUACGUCCUACGGGAGAAAGCAGGGGACCUUCGGGCCUUGCGCUAUCAGAUGAGCCUAGGUCGGAUUAGCUAGUUGGUGGGGUAAUGGCUCACCAAGGCGACGAUCCGUAACUGGUCUGAGAGGAUGAUCAGUCACACUGGAACUGAGACACGGUCCAGACUCCUACGGGAGGCAGCAGUGGGGAAUAUUGGACAAUGGGCGAAAGCCUGAUCCAGCCAGUGCCGCGUGUGUGAAGAAGGUCUUCGGGAUUGUAAAGCACUUUAAGUUGGGAGGAAGGGCAGUAAGUUAAUACCUUGCUGUUUUGACGUUACGACAGAAUAAGCA